AAGGGUACAGUAUCAGGGGCAGUGUCGGGGAGAACACAAGGUUUCACAAAUGGUAUGGUAUAAGGGGCAGUGUCGGGGAGAACACUUCAUGUGACAUGGUGUCCAGUGUGAAGGAGGAUGUCAGCAGACUUCAAAUCACGAACGUGACAUUGGAUCUCCAAGGACUGGA
Molecule: long non-coding RNA, 169 nt
Organism: Amblyraja radiata (thorny skate)
Lineage: Eukaryota; Metazoa; Chordata; Chondrichthyes; Rajiformes; Rajidae
Exons: 3
Source: RefSeq, a predicted model, not a curated record